UGCCUUUAGCUCCAGCCUGCUAACAACACCUGCAACAACAGGAAGCAGCAAUGUUAUUGCUAGUAGUGCAGAUAGGACAUCUGCUCAUGUCAGAGGAAAAAUGACGUUCCUAUUGCAUCCUGGUAUAGGAAGAUCCCCUUCGACCACAAUAUAAACAAUGCAGAGAAGCUGCUGCAUGAAAUAUGAAAGUGAAGCCAUAGUUCAAGGCAGUGGUAUUACUAACCUUCUAACAGAUGGUCAGAAGCUAAUUUAGCUCGUCUAUGCUGGGUUUUGUUUUUCAUUUUGAAGGAAGAAAUUUUUUGCUUGCAGACUCCUGAAUUAGAGAGGGUCUGAAAGCCAAACAAGUUGGGAGCAGGGGAAAGACACAAAAGCUGCCAGUAUUCAAUAAACAGGAAGAAAGAAACAGUGAAGCCACACAGAGACCUCAAGGCUGUGCACAGGAUAUGACUUUUCCUUGCAGCCUUCUUUCAUUCGUGUUUGCAGCUAAUAAGGAUAAAAUCCUCAUCUCCAUUGACCCUGGGAAAGCAGAAAGGAAUCUACUUGCUGUCCCCAGUAGGAGUUUCAUGGUAACAGUUCCACACUGUACCUGUUACUAAGGCCUUUCAGUGACCGAGAUUUCACAGCCCCCAUGCAGUCUAAUCCAGCAUACGUCUGUUCUCACUGCUGGAGUCACUCCUAAGCUUUGACCUGAACCUUUCCUAAGGACAUUUCAGUUUACAAAAUAAACUUACAAAAUAAGUUUACAAAAUAGAGAAACUGUGAAAUCACACACUAUGAGCUGCAGAAGAAUACAUCACAUUUCAGAAGAAAUGUGGUAAUUUAGGACAAAACUAAGUUAAGAGUAUGCCAGAGAAAAAGAAACCAAAAAUUUCACCAUUGACUUAUCCCAGUAAUAUAAUACAGCCUCAGCAUGCAUCUAAC
Molecule: long non-coding RNA, 921 nt
Organism: Pseudopipra pipra
Lineage: Eukaryota; Metazoa; Chordata; Aves; Passeriformes; Pipridae
Exons: 3
Source: RefSeq, a predicted model, not a curated record